CUUGGCACAGCAGAAGGAACAGAUUCACUUGGGACUGGAAUCUGGUUCUGCCACUUGCCGGCUCUGUGACUUUAGGCAAGCGACUUCACAUUCCUCAGCCAAUUUCAUCCGUGAAAAGAAAACCAGAAGAGCAAGAUGUUGGAGAAUUAAUAUCUGCUAGAGAAAUAUGCAUCUCAGCCUGGACUAAUUGGUGCCUGGAACAUGAUGGUAGGUCUCCUACUCACAAAUUGGAUGGUGAUGGAAAGGCCAUCCUGAUGAGCCUUCCAAAAGUUUUGUCAGAAGACAGAGUGAUGUUGGAUAACACUACUGAGCCACAACUUCCAUCCACGCAAGACUUAAUAUAUUUCCUGGGACAAAAGUACCUAGGAAACCAAAAGCCUUUCACCUUAUCCCUUGAAGCUAAUUUCCCUUUGGCUGACACUGUGCAGCAAAGUGUAUUAAUAUCCAUGAUGGGUGAUCAGCCUUCAAUAAAUAAUGCUGGUUGUUCUAAUGUAC
This 495-nucleotide long non-coding RNA is filed under the name Homo sapiens (human). RNAcentral's name for it is "HSALNT0294703". Lineage: Eukaryota; Metazoa; Chordata; Mammalia; Primates; Hominidae. The record is from RNAcentral.